UGGGGAAUUUUGCGCAAUGGGGGAAACCCUGACGCAGCAACGCCGCGUGAGUGAUGAAGGCCUUCGGGUCGUAAAGCUCUGUCAGAGGGGAAGAAAUGCAGGGGUGCUAAUAUCAUCUUUGCUUGACGGUACCCUCAAAGGAAGCACCGGCUAACUCCGUGCCAGCAGCCGCGGUAAUACGGAGGGUGCGAGCGUUGUUCGGAAUUAUUGGGCGUAAAGCGCGUGUAGGCGGUUUGAUAAGUCCGAUGUGAAAGCCCCGGGCUCAACCUGGGAAGUGCAUUGGAAGCUGUCAGACUUGAAUACGGGAGAGGGUAGUGGAAUUCCUAGUGUAGGAGUGAAAUCCGUAGAUAUUAGGAGGAACACCGGUGGCGAAGGCGGCUACCUGGACCGAUAUUGACGCUGAGACGCGAAAGCGUGGGGAGCAAACAG
Molecule: ribosomal RNA, 429 nt
Filed under: uncultured bacterium
Lineage: Bacteria
Description: bacterial SSU rRNA
Rfam family: Bacterial small subunit ribosomal RNA
Source: RNAcentral